CCUACGGGUGGCAGCAGUGAGGAAUAUUGGUCAAUGGCCGGAAGGCUGAACCAGCCAUGCCGCGUGAAGGUCAGUGCCCUAUGGGCGUUAAACUUCUUUUGUGCGGGAGCAAUAAUGGUCACGUGUGGCCAGACGAGAGUACCGUACGAAUAAGCAUCGGCUAACUCCGUGCCAGCAGCCGCGGUAAUACGGGUGAUGCAAGCGUUAUCCGGAUUUAUUGGGUUUAAAGGGUGCGUAGGCUGUGAGUUAAGUCAGCGGUGAAAUGCCCGCGCUCAACGGGGUGAAGUGCCAUUGAUACUGCCUGGCUGGAAUGCGGAUGCCGUGGGAGGAAUGUGUGGUGUAGCGGUGAAAUGCAUAGAUAUCACACAGAACACCGAUUGCGAAGGCAUCUCACGAAUCCGCGAUUGACGCUGAUGCACGAAAGCGUGGGUAUCAAACAGGAUUAGAUACCCCGGUAGUC
This 460-nucleotide ribosomal RNA is filed under the name uncultured bacterium. RNAcentral describes it as "partial 16S ribosomal RNA". It matches the Rfam family "Bacterial small subunit ribosomal RNA", at positions 338 to 795 of the family's 1533-position model. The record is from RNAcentral.